AUUGAACGCUGGCGGCAGGCCUAACACAUGCAAGUCGAGCGGAUGAAGGGAGCUUGCUCCUGGAUUCAGCGGCGGACGGGUGAGUAAUGCCUAGGAAUCUGCCUGGUAGUGGGGGAUAACGUCCGGAAACGGGCGCUAAUACCGCAUACGUCCUGAGGAGAAAGUGGGGGAUCUUCGGACCUCACGCUAUCAGAUGAGCCUAGGUCGGAUUAGCUAGUUGGUGGGGUAAAGGCCUACCAAGGCGACGAUCCGUAACUGGUCUGAGAGGAUGAUCAGUCACACUGGAACUUAGACACGGUCCAGACUCCUACGGGAGGCAGCAGUGGGGAAUAUUGGACAAAGGGCGAAAGCCUGAUCCAGCCAUGCCGCGUGUGUGAAGAAGGUCUUCGGAUUGUAAAGCACUUUAAGUUGGGAGGAAGGGCAGUAAGUUAAUACCUUGCUGUUUUGACGGUACCAACAGAAUAAGCACCGGCUAACUACGUG
RNAcentral lists this ribosomal RNA (483 nucleotides) under uncultured bacterium. RNAcentral's name for it is "partial 16S ribosomal RNA". It matches the Rfam family "Bacterial small subunit ribosomal RNA", at positions 30 to 507 of the family's 1533-position model. The record is from RNAcentral.